RNAcentral lists this ribosomal RNA (450 nucleotides) under Candidatus Poseidoniales archaeon. RNAcentral's name for it is "partial 23S ribosomal RNA". It matches the Rfam family "Archaeal large subunit ribosomal RNA", at positions 1 to 455 of the family's 2987-position model. The record is from RNAcentral. Lineage: Archaea; Methanobacteriati; Thermoplasmatota; Candidatus Poseidoniia; Candidatus Poseidoniales.
UUACAAAAUGCUACAACCCGACUGGGGGAUGGCUCGGCUCGAGAGCCGACGAAGGUCGUGACAAGCUGCGAAAAGUCGCGGGGAGAGGCAUGAAUCUCAUGGAUCCGCGAAUUGCCGAAUGGGACCUCCUGGCGCUAUGCGCCAUUCCACAAAUGGAAAGGGAACCCCCUGAACUGAAGCAUCUCAGUAGGGGGAGGAAAAGAAAUCAAACGAGAUUCCGUUAGUAGUGGCGAAUGAACACGGAAUCGGACAAACCGAAUCUCUCGGGGAAACCCGAGAGAGAUGUGGUGUAUGGACUGUCUCAGCCUAAAACAUCGAAAUGGAAAUCGCCUGGAACGGCGUGCCACAGAGGGUGAAAGCCCCGUACAUGCAGAUGUGAUGGCUUUGUGACAGAUUCCUGAGUAGCGUGCGUUGGAUAUCGCGCGUGAAUAUGGGGGGCAUAAACCUCCA